UACGGGGGGGGCAAGCGUUGUCCGGAAUUACUGCGCGUAAAGAGCUCGUAGGUGGUUUGUCGCGUUGUCCGUGAAAACUCACAACUCAAUUGUGGGCGUGCGGGCGAUACGGGCAGACUGGAGUACUGCAGGGGAGACUGGAAUUCCUGGUGUAGCGGUGGAAUGCGCAGAUAUCAGGAGGAACACCGGUGGCGAAGGCGGGUCUCUGGGCAGUAACUGACGCUGAGGAGCGAAAGCGUGGGGAGCGAACAGG
Molecule: ribosomal RNA, 253 nt
Filed under: uncultured bacterium
Lineage: Bacteria
Description: partial 16S ribosomal RNA
Rfam family: Bacterial small subunit ribosomal RNA
Source: RNAcentral